ACCUGGCUUGCUCAUUCAGUAGAGCAUGAGACUCUCAAUCUCAGGGUUGUGAGUUCAAGGCUCAUUUUGGGCA
Molecule: transfer RNA, 73 nt
Filed under: Canis lupus familiaris (dog)
Lineage: Eukaryota; Metazoa; Chordata; Mammalia; Carnivora; Canidae
Also listed under: 1 other name
Rfam family: tRNA
About the family: Transfer RNA (tRNA) molecules are approximately 80 nucleotides in length. Their secondary structure includes four short double-helical elements and three loops (D, anti-codon, and T loops).
Source: Rfam by way of RNAcentral